This 393-nucleotide ribosomal RNA is filed under the name uncultured bacterium. RNAcentral's name for it is "partial 16S ribosomal RNA". It matches the Rfam family "Bacterial small subunit ribosomal RNA", at positions 523 to 918 of the family's 1533-position model. The record is from RNAcentral.
AUACGGAGGAUCCGAGCGUUAUCCGGAUUUAUUGGGUUUAAAGGGUGCGUAGGCGGCCUUUUAAGUCAGCGGUGAAAGUCUGUGGCUCAACCAUAGAAUUGCCGUUGAAACUGGGAGGCUUGAGUAUGUUUGAGGCAGGCGGAAUGCGUGGUGUAGCGGUGAAAUGCUUAGAUAUCACGCAGAACCCCGAUUGCGAAGGCACCCUGCCAAGCCAUGACUGACGCUGAUGCACGAAAGCGUGGGGAUCAAACAGGAUUAGAUACCCUGGUAGUCCACGCAGUAAACGAUGAUCACUAGCUGUUUGCGAUACAGUGUAAGCGGCACAGCGAAAGCGUUAAGUAAUCCACCUGGGGAGUACGCCGGCAACGGUGAAACUCAAAGGAAUUGACGGGG